Molecule: regulatory RNA element, 89 nt
Organism: Lentibacillus amyloliquefaciens
Lineage: Bacteria; Bacillati; Bacillota; Bacilli; Caryophanales; Bacillaceae
Source: Rfam
CCAGUGCUACAACCGCUCAGAACAGGCUUCUGAAUUCCUUUUGAACAACAACAAACAGGAAUGCCUGCAUGGCGAGUCUUAGUAAUCAG